UAGAGUUUGAUCAUGGCUCAGAACGUACGCUGGCGGCACGCCUAACACAUGCAAGUCGAACGAAGUAGCAAUACUUAGUGGCAGACGGGUGAGUAACAUGUAGGUAUCUGCCCUUUGGCCUGGAAUAACACGAGGAAACUUGUGCUAAUACCGGAUAAGUCUUUACGGAGAAAGCUUUAUGCACCAUUGGAUGAGCCUGCACUUGAUUAGUUUGUUGGUGGGGUAAUGGCCUACCAAGACUGUGAUCAAUAGCUGAUUUGAGAGGAUGAUCAGCCACAUUGGGACUGAGACACGGCCCAAACUCCUACGGGAGGCAGCAGUGGGGAAUCUUGCACAAUGGAGGAAACUCUGAUGCAGCGAUGCCGCGUGAGUGAAGAAGGCCCUUGGGUUGUAAAGCUCUUUCGUCGGGGAAGAAAAUGACUGUACCCGAAUAAGAAGGUCCGGCUAACUUCGUGCCAGCAGCCGCGGUAAUACGAAGGGACCUAGCGUAGUUCGGAAUUACUGGGCUUAAAGAGUUCGUAGGUGGUUGAAAAAGUUGGUGGUGAAAUCCCAGAGCUUAACUCUGGAACUGCCAUCAAAACUUUUCAGCUAGAGUAUGAUAGAGGAAAGCAGAAUUUCUAGUGUAGAGGUGAAAUUCGUAGAUAUUAGAAAGAAUACCAAUUGCGAAGGCAGCUUUCUGGAUCAUUACUGACACUGAGGAACGAAAGCAUGGGUAGCGAAGAGGAUUAGAUACCCUCGUAGUCCAUGCCGUAAACGAUGUGUGUUAGACGUUGGAAAUUUAUUUUCAGUGUCGCAGCGAAAGCGAUAAACACACCGCCUGGGGAGUACGACCGCAAGGUUAAAACUCAAAUGAAUUGACGGGGACCCGCACAAGUAGUGGAGCAUGUGGUUUAAUUCGAAGAUACGCGCAGAACCUUACCAACACUUGACAUGUUCGUCGCGACUUUAAGAGAUUAAAGUUUUCGGUUCGGCCGGACGAAACACAGGUGCUGCAUGGCUGUCGUCAGCUCGUGUCGUGAGAUGUUGGGUUAAGUCCCGCAACGAGCGCAACCCUCACUUUUAGUUGCCAUCAUUAAGUUGGGCACUCUGAAAGAACUGCCAGUGAUAAGCUGGAGGAAGGUGGGGAUGACGUCAAGUCCUCAUGGCCCUUACGUGUUGGGCUACACACGUGCUACAAUGGUAUCUACAACAGGAAGCAAGACUGCGAAGUUAAGCAAAUCCUUAAAAGAUACCUCAGUUCGGAUUGCACUCUGCAACUCGAGUGCAUGAAGCUGGAAUUACUAGUAAUCGUGGAUCAGCGUGCCACGGUGAAUGCGUUCCCGGGUCUUGUACACACCGCCCGUCACACCAUGGGAGUUGGUUCUACCUUAAGGUAAGGUUUCAAACCCUUGACCACGGUAUAGUCAGCGACUGGGGUGAAGUCGUAACAAGGUAACCGUA
RNAcentral lists this ribosomal RNA (1440 nucleotides) under uncultured bacterium. RNAcentral describes it as "bacterial SSU rRNA". It matches the Rfam family "Bacterial small subunit ribosomal RNA". The record is from RNAcentral.